CGUGAGCGGCGGACGGGUGAGUAACGCGUGGGUAACCUGCCUCAUACAGGGGGAUAACAGUUGGAAACGGCUGCUAAUACCGCAUAAGCGCACAGUACCGCAUGGUACCGUGUGAAAAACUCCGGUGGUAUGAGAUGGACCCGCGUCUGAUUAGCUAGUUGGUGGGGUAACGGCCUACCAAGGCGACGAUCAGUAGCCGACCUGAGAGGGUGACCGGCCACAUUGGGACCGAGACACGGCCCAA
RNAcentral lists this ribosomal RNA (244 nucleotides) under uncultured bacterium. RNAcentral's name for it is "partial 16S ribosomal RNA". It matches the Rfam family "Bacterial small subunit ribosomal RNA", at positions 90 to 334 of the family's 1533-position model. The record is from RNAcentral.